AACAUUCUAAAUUUACAUCUCACAAUUCUAAGUUUAUAUAUCCCAGAAUUCUACAUUUUUGUUGUCUUGUGUCGGCAUGAUAGACGUGCACAGUGCUUCCCCCAGCUAGGGUUGCCAGGUUUUCUUAACAGAACCCGCCCCUCCUUAAAAAUCGAGUCCCAGGAGUUAAAUACAUGUUUUUAGUGGGGUUCUCCCGGUAAAAUUCACAUUAAAUCACAUUAAAUAUCACUUCACUGAGGUCGCUUCAACCAGCAGAUAUGAAAAACAACCCACAGCAACAUUGUUAAAGAAGCCCAAUUUGGCAACACUGUUUUGUUAUUUGGAAAUUUCCAAGCCACUGUCGCCGGUGCCUCUACACCAGAUCUUGUUGCCGAUCUGCCUUUUUCAAGGCGCUCUUUUGCUGACAAAAGAGGAAUAACUGAAGGACAAGCUACUUAAACUGAGUUCGCUAACAACGGUUUUGUGCACCAUUUCAAAGAUUGCAUCUUUGAGUGGCUAACAGCUAGCACCGAGCACAAGAAGUUAUUUAGCCAUGUUUAUUUAUAUUUUUUAAUAUGAGUAAAGGGACAUGGAAUGACAGAUGCACAUACUUUAUUUACAAGUGACAGGCUUUCUUCCACUGCUAUUGUUUUCCUUGGAUUUGCUUCUCAGUUCCAAACAAAUAAAUGUAAGCAAAUUCCUGUUCCUGGUCCAGUUCUGUAACACUGUAUGAUCAAGGAGAGGCAUCAUCAAAGAACGGAGUGAAAGAAGAGCAACAGGUUGGAACAUUAAACAGACUACAUCUUCAGUCGCUACACCAUUGGUGAUCAGCUGGGGAAAGGUGGUUGUGGGGUGGUGUACGAAGGCAGACGUUUAAAUGAUGAUCUUAAAGUGGCUUUGAAAUAUGUCAUGAAGACCCAGCACACAGAAAGUAUAUUCAUUCCUGAUCAUCCGAAACCUCUUCCGAAAGAGAUCGCCCUCACCAUCCUGGCCAACAAAGGUCCCAGCGUACCAGAAAUCAUCCGGCUGCUGGACUGGACGGACCACCCUGACCACUUCGUAAUGGUCCUCGAAUGUCCCUCUCCCUGUGAGAGUCUCGUGGGGUUCAUCAGGCGUCACGGUGGAAGACUCG
Carassius gibelio (silver crucian carp) is the source of this 1111-nucleotide long non-coding RNA. RefSeq lists it as uncharacterized. The transcript is spliced from 6 exons. The record is from RefSeq and is a predicted model, not a curated record. Lineage: Eukaryota; Metazoa; Chordata; Actinopteri; Cypriniformes; Cyprinidae.